RNAcentral lists this ribosomal RNA (806 nucleotides) under Streptomyces sp. Its description in RNAcentral is "bacterial SSU rRNA". It matches the Rfam family "Bacterial small subunit ribosomal RNA", at positions 63 to 883 of the family's 1533-position model. Lineage: Bacteria; Bacillati; Actinomycetota; Actinomycetes; Kitasatosporales; Streptomycetaceae. The record is from RNAcentral.
CGAACGAUGAACCACUUCGGUGGGGAUUAGUGGCGAACGGGUGAGUAACACGUGGGCAAUCUGCCCUGCACUCUGGGACAAGCCCUGGAAACGGGGUCUAAUACCGGAUACGAGCUCCCAUCGCAUGGUGGGGGUUGGAAAGCUCCGGCGGUGCAGGAUGAGCCCGCGGCCUAUCAGCUUGUUGGUGAGGUAACGGCUCACCAAGGCGACGACGGGUAGCCGGCCUGAGAGGGCGACCGGCCACACUGGGACUGAGACACGGCCCAGACUCCUACGGGAGGCAGCAGUGGGGAAUAUUGCACAAUGGGCGAAAGCCUGAUGCAGCGACGCCGCGUGAGGGAUGACGGCCUUCGGGUUGUAAACCUCUUUCAGCAGGGAAGAAGCGAAAGUGACGGUACCUGCAGAAGAAGCGCCGGCUAACUACGUGCCAGCAGCCGCGGUAAUACGUAGGGCGCAAGCGUUGUCCGGAAUUAUUGGGCGUAAAGAGCUCGUAGGCGGCUUGUCGCGUCGGAUGUGAAAGCCCGGGGCUUAACCCCGGGUCUGCAUUCGAUACGGGCAGGCUAGAGUUCGGUAGGGGAGAUCGGAAUUCCUGGUGUAGCGGUGAAAUGCGCAGAUAUCAGGAGGAACACCGGUGGCGAAGGCGGAUCUCUGGGCCGAUACUGACGCUGAGGAGCGAAAGCGUGGGGAGCGAACAGGAUUAGAUACCCUGGUAGUCCACGCCGUAAACGGUGGGCACUAGGUGUGGGCAACAUUCCACGUUGUCCGUGCCGCAGCUAACGCAUUAAGUGCCCCGCCUGGGGGAGUAC